Molecule: ribosomal RNA, 497 nt
Filed under: uncultured bacterium
Lineage: Bacteria
Description: partial 16S ribosomal RNA
Rfam family: Bacterial small subunit ribosomal RNA
Source: RNAcentral
GAUGAACGCUGGCGGCGUGCCUAAUACAUGCAAGUCGAGCGAACAGAUAAGGAGCUUGCUCCUCUGAUGUUAGCGGCGGACGGGUGAGUAACACGUGGGUAACCUACCUAUAAGACUGGGAUAACUUCGGGAAACCGUAGCUAAUACCGGAUAAUAUUUCGAACCGCAUGGUUCAAAAGUGAAAGAUGGUUUUGCUAUCACUUAUAGAUGGAUCCGCGCUGCAUUAGCUAGUUGGUAAGGUAACGGCUUACCAAGGCAACGAUGCAUAGCCGACCUGAGAGGGUGAUCGGCCACACUGGAACUGAGACACGGUCCAGACUCCUACGGGAGGCAGCAGUAGGGAAUCUUCCGCAAUGGGCGAAAGCCUGACGGAGCAACGCCGCGUGAGUGAUGAAGGUCUUCGGAUCGUAAAACUCUGUUAUUAGGGAAGAACAUAUGUGUAAGUAACUGUGCACAUCUUGACGGUACCUAAUCAGAAAGCCACGGCUAACUACGUG